This 497-nucleotide ribosomal RNA is filed under the name uncultured bacterium. RNAcentral describes it as "partial 16S ribosomal RNA". It matches the Rfam family "Bacterial small subunit ribosomal RNA", at positions 28 to 507 of the family's 1533-position model. The record is from RNAcentral.
GAUGAACGCUGGCGGCGUGCCUAAUACAUGCAAGUCGAGCGAACAGACGAGGAGCUUGCUCCUCUGACGUUAGCGGCGGACGGGUGAGUAACACGUGGAUAACCUACCUAUAAGACUGGGAUAACUUCGGGAACCCGGAGCUACUACCGGAUAAUAUAUUGAACCGCAUGGUUCAAUAGAGAAAGACGGCUUUGCUGUCCCUUAUAGAUUGUUCCGCGCAGGAUUAGCUAGUGGGUAAGGUAACGGUUUACCAAGGCAAAGGUGCGUAGCCGACCUGGGGGGGAGAUCGGGCACACCGGAACUGAGACACGGUCCAGACUCCUACGGGAGGCAGCAGUAGGGAAUCUUCCGCAAUGGGCGAAAGCCUGACGGAGCAACGCCGCGUGAGUGAUGAAGGUCUUCGGAUCGUAAAACUCUGUUAUUAGGGAAGAACAAAUGUGUAAGUAACUAUGCACGUCUUGACGGUACCUAAUCAGAAAGCCACGGCUAACUACGUG